UACAGAGGGGGCAAGCGUUGUUCGGAAUUACUGGGCGUAAAGGGCGCGUAGGCGGCCUUCUAAGUCGAACGUGAAAUCCCCGGGCUCAACCCGGGAACUGCGUCCGAUACUGGAAGGCUUGAAUCCGGGAGAGGGAUGUGGAAUUCCAGGUGUAGCGGUGAAAUACGUAGAGAUUGGGAAGAACACCAGUGGCGAAGGCGGCUAUUUGGACGGUUUCUGACACUAAGACUCGAAAGCGUGGGGAGCAAACAGG
RNAcentral lists this ribosomal RNA (253 nucleotides) under uncultured bacterium. RNAcentral's name for it is "partial 16S ribosomal RNA". It matches the Rfam family "Bacterial small subunit ribosomal RNA", at positions 524 to 776 of the family's 1533-position model. The record is from RNAcentral.